UCUCCCACCCUUUGUGAACAUACCUCUGUUGCUUUGGCGGCUCUUGCCGCGUGGAGGCCCUCAAAAAGCCCCCCCGUGCGCUUCCGCCAGAGGACCUUCAAACUCCAGUCAGUAAACGUCGACGUCUGAAAAACAAGUUAAUAAACUAAAACUUUCAACAACGGAUCUCUUGGUUCUGGCAUCGAUGAAGAACGCAGCGAAAUGCGAUAAGUAAUGUGAAUUGCAGAAUUCAGUGAAUCAUCGAAUCUUUGAACGCACAUUGCGCCCCUUGGCAUUCCGAGGGGCAUGCCUGUUCGAGCGUCAUUACAACCCUCAAGCUCUGCUUGGUAUUGGGCGACGUCCUCUCUGCGGACGCGCCUCAAAGACCUCGGCGGUGGCUGUUCAGCCCUCAAGCGUAGUAGAAUACACCUCGCUUUGGAGCGGUUGGCGUCGCCCGCCGGACGAACC
Molecule: ribosomal RNA, 447 nt
Filed under: Diplodia mutila
Lineage: Eukaryota; Fungi; Ascomycota; Dothideomycetes; Botryosphaeriales; Botryosphaeriaceae
Description: eukaryotic LSU rRNA
Rfam family: 5.8S ribosomal RNA (bases 150-303)
Source: RNAcentral